RNAcentral lists this ribosomal RNA (467 nucleotides) under uncultured bacterium. RNAcentral describes it as "bacterial SSU rRNA". It matches the Rfam family "Bacterial small subunit ribosomal RNA", at positions 335 to 799 of the family's 1533-position model. The record is from RNAcentral.
ACUCCUACGGGAGGCAGCAGUGAGGAAUAUUGGUCAAUGGAGGGAACUCUGAACCAGCCAUCCCGCGUGUAGGAAGACGGCCUUAUGGGUUGUAAACUACUUUUAUACAGGAAGAAACGUACCCUCGUGAGGGUGCCUGACGGUACUGUAGGAAUAAGCACCGGCUAACUCCGUGCCAGCAGCCGCGGUAAUACGGAGGGUGCGAGCGUUAUCCGGAUUUAUUGGGUUUAAAGGGUCCGUAGGCGGAUUAAUAAGUCAGUGGUGAAAUCCCAUCGCUUAACGAUGGAACUGCCAUUGAUACUGUUAGUCUUGAAUGAGGGUGCAGUGGUUGGAAUGUGUAGUGUAGCGGUGAAAUGCAUAGAUAUUACACAGAACACCGAUUGCGAAGGCAGAUCACUAACCCUAAAUUGACGCUGAGGGACGAAAGCGUGGGGAGCGAACAGGAUUAGAUACCCUGGUAGGCGUAG